AUGGUGUGGUGCCCCAUGUCUGUGAGAUGUAUGCAGGUGGCAUGGUGUGGUGCCCUGUGUCUGUGGGAUGUAUGCAGGUGGCAUGGUGUGGCAUGGUGUGGUG
Haliotis rubra (blacklip abalone) is the source of this 103-nucleotide long non-coding RNA. RefSeq lists it as uncharacterized. The transcript has 3 exons. NCBI's taxonomy places the organism in Eukaryota, Metazoa, Mollusca, Gastropoda, Lepetellida, Haliotidae. The record is from RefSeq and is a predicted model, not a curated record.